This 23371-nucleotide long non-coding RNA is filed under the name Gallus gallus (chicken). The record is from RNAcentral. Lineage: Eukaryota; Metazoa; Chordata; Aves; Galliformes; Phasianidae.
UUUGGUUUGACAGCUGAAGGUCAAUUAGAAUAUGGACCUAAAAACAAAGUAUGUCUAUGAGUCAACUAUCUUACCCUAUGAAAAACUCCUUGUGGCUCUACAGGAGGGCCUCUUCAACCUUUAGACAGAAACUGUUGAUCAAGUGUGGGACUAGGACUCAAUUAAGUUGCACCUAGGCUCCUUGCCUCUGUGAUUCAAGUUGUUUAGAAAGUGGGGGAGUCCAUCCUGAACCUUGUGAGUCCCUGCAUCCAGUAGGCUCUGCAUAUUUUUUUGAGAGAGAACCUACCUAUAAGUUACCGCAGAUCAGAGGAGGCAAAAUUUCUUCCAUGUGUCAGCCAUGUCAUUUGUUAACCACUGAGAUUCAAGAAGUGUGCUGUUAGCUCAGUAGUGGAUGGUGGCACUGUACAAUGUUUCUACUGUACAGAGUGGUUUACAAGUCAACAACAAAUGGUAACUAGCUCUGUAAAAACAUGGCAGCUUGUUCUCUAUGGGGAUAGGCUAUACUUCUUCAAAGGAAUAAUUUGGAGCAAAAAUUCACUGGGGGUGUCUAUAGACUUCUUACUUGGUCUUGCUUGAGAAAAACAAAUAUAACUGUGAAUGUACGUGCACGUGUAUGUGUAACAGAAAAAGACACCAGUGAACUACAGUGUCUAUGGCUUAAUCUGCAGCUUGUUAGUUUGGGAAAUAUCUCACUUAUUUUAUAUCUAAAUAGAAGCUGCCUUGCCAAUAGAUCAUUAAAUGUGAAACAGUUUCUAAUUUAAUUGUUGUUAUUCUUCCCAGUCAUAAUUGUCUGCUGCAAUCUGCUACUUUGCAUCAUUCCACAUCUCCAAGCUACGUACAAUAGUGUAGACAUGAAAAUCAAUGUGUGUGACACAUGAUGCAAGAACUGUUAUUUGCAAUCAUGUAAUACUUGAGAAGUUUCUAAAUAUUUGGAAGGUUCCACACUAUUGAAAACAGUAGCAAUUCUGUAAGUAGAACCUAAUCUGCUAUGUAAGGUGCAAUCAGUGCUGCUAGCGCUGACUCACAUGACUGCUUCCUAGCAUAAUCAUUUCUCAAAUUAAUUUUAAGAUGUUUGUUUAGAGGAUGAAAAGUAUAAUGUAUUUAUUUGACUUGACAUAACAUAGCGUUACUGUGAGGUACAGGACAAAUAAAAGGAUUUUUCAACUUACUUCUUAAACUUUUCUGUUGGUAAUACUAGUCUACAAAAAUGCAAAAGAAUAGAACUUCAGGUUGUAAGUUUCUUAAAUGCUAUCAUGAGCCACUGACAGAUCACCUGACACUGAAGUCACUGGAAAUACAUUUAACUCUGUGGACAUUUUGCAAGUUACUCUCUAAGGAUAAUUUCAUGCUAUUCUGCAGUAUUUGUUCACAGGAACAAUUAUUAUCAAAGACAGUUAAUAUUUUACAGCAUAUACAAGCCAGCUUCUUUAUGCAUAAAUGUUGAGACAAGCUUUCUGCCCCAUUCAGCCAAUGUUAAAUGAAUAAGAUAGGGUAAUAGGCUAUAAAAAGACAAAGGGCAACUUUUAUGGUAAUAAAAUGCUGUGCUUCUUUGCUUUUUAUUCCACUUACUUGAGGGUACUGUUUCCUUUCAGGUGCUGGGCAGUCACUAAUACAACUGCACUAAUGUUAAUGACUGAUAGUUUACUCCACAGCAGGGUCAGUACAUGCUAGUGUUAAGUCAACCACUGCAGAUAACAAUUUAUUAUUGGUGUUCAAUGUAUUUAUGGGAAGUGUUUUAAGUGCACUGAUUUCAGUUCUCCUUUACAUUACUUUAACUCAGUGAUACAUUUGCUUAGCAGCGUGCAUUCACCUGAACCUUGUGGUAUUCAGACUUGGUCGUCUGUGGCUCUUUAAAAUUAGAAGGCCAGAUUCACCUUUUGGCAUCUGUUCUUCAGCAGUCAAUAACCAGUCAAUGACAAUUUCCCUGACAUUCUGGUAUGGAUUUGCUGUGGGGAAAUAAUACAAAUAAUCUAAAUAAUACAUCCUGAGAACUCUAAAAACACUAACUGUGGGGCUACCUAGCAUCAGACUGACUUCUUGUAUUCCCACGUCCACAACAACCCAUGUGUACAUCUGUAAUGAAAUGGUAUGCUCUGGGAGCGCAGCUUUGUAGGUGGACAGAAACAUAAUGGUUUUUUUUCUCUCUGAAAUUUAUCAGAACUAAACUGUUUUCAAAAUUACUUACAAAUCAGAACAUUCUAACAAAAACUUACUGUGGGAUUUUCUUUUUUCCCAAUGAAUUCUAAUUGGAAGUGAAGAAAGCAAAUGUGAAAAGUUAGAAGAGCUGACACUGAAGGGACGUGCAUCUGUUGCAUUAAAUCUAAUUGGUUGCUGUAAAUUAAAAGGGGAAGCAAAAUAGCCUCCAGCUAUACAAUUAGCUGGCCAUCUAGCUGGCACUGUUAGUUAGCAACUGAACUUUUCAAAGCCACUGUGUAAGAGAAAGUAGUUAGAAAAAAAAUACAUAUAUUAUGUAUUAUAUUAUGUAUAUAUUCCUUUUUCACUCUUUUGAAACACAGUGUUUAAUAUAGUUACCUUUUCAAACUCUUCAUCUCUGUAAAGAGAUCACACCGGUUCCUGCAUACACACUGCUUUGCCUUCAGUCCUUCCUUUUGAAAGUGUUCGUGUGACAGGCAGGAAUUCAGGAAAGGUCAUGAGAUAAUAGGAACCAGCACCCUCUGAUAAGUCAGGUGGCUUAGAUGAGGGAUAUGUACUAAGUAGAUGUGGGGUUUUUGCUAUCAUUUGGAAGGGGAUAUUGUCAGCACUGAGACAAUUUUGUCAGGGAAUAAUGGAUUCUAGAGUUUUACAAUUUAAAACUGGGGAAAAUGGAAGCACUGUUGAUACAGUGCUGAGCUUUAUGGCUUCCAGAGCUCCUCUGUCAUCAAAGGGAAGCUUUCUGUUAUGUUUAGUUGCAAGCAUGCAUCCUGCACACUUUCUGUACCUUCAUCCUCUCCUGUAGGUGUAUUCAGUGAGUGUCUGAGGGCAGGAGAAGCAGGCAAAAUGUACAACUUCUAAACAAGUGAAUGAGACAGUCAGACUUUGGGCAAAAGAGGCCUGUCUCCCUCAGGAUUCCUCUGAACUGAUGGACAGGCUUUGGCAUUCCAGAAAUUCACAACACCUUAAUGGGGCUCCUCUAAAUUGCCUCUUACCAUUGGCUGCACAAGAAGCAUUGGUUCUCCAGUUGUUAGAGAGUCUGUAUGGAAGCUUUUCUUAGUGUACACAGGAAAUGCAUGGAGAUAUUUGUAUCUUACUCCAGCCAAAAUAUGCAAAGGUAUUACUAGAAGAGACAAAAAACAUAAUUUAAUUAGAGAUACUCUUUGAAAAAAGUCUGAAAAAGUCUGUUAUGCAAUAUUUUGGGAGUCUUUGAAAUAUAAAGGACGCAUAAUAAAAGUGGUUCUUGUAAUUAGCAACAGACUUGGAAGGCAGAAAACUCUGUCCCAGCAUUUCUUAAUGCAAAGGUCUGCUAUGACCUGAUAAAGAAAUGUUCAUAAGAAAAGAUAAGGCUGUGUGGGCUGAAAAAAUAACGUUGUUAAUGUAACAUCAUGUUGUCUUGAGGAAGGAAAGUGUUUACCCAAAUGCACGCUACCCUUGUUAAUUUGCUUGGAUUCAGUGCUACUCAAGGCAAUCUUACAGAAAGACUGUAAAAGUUGUGGGGUUAUAUUUGUGGUUACAUUUGUGGAAUAAAAGGUAAACCAAGCACAAUUAUGAAAAUGGAUUUCUUGUUUGCACCCAUGCUCUCAGAGCUAACCCAGCUAAGAAGGCUACUCUAGAAUCAGAUCUCAAUUGGGUUACAGACCUUAAUAUGGCAGUUGACUGAAUGAAGGUAUUUUUAAGCAUUGGACAGCUAGUAUGACAGUCUCCAUGCAGAGACACUUUUAAAUUGUGUACUUCAGUUCUGGUUUGUGAUGCUGAACAAAGACCUUUCAGUAUUUGUUAUACAUUUCAGUAUUCAAUAUACAAUUCAAAAUGUCUCAGAAGCAUUUUGUUUGAUAACUUUAUAUUGAAUUAUGUAUAAGGACACUAACAUCUUACACAACUCAGAUGUGAGCCAUGAGUGUUGAGGACUAUUUAAGAUGCUUGCAAGGGUUUAAUGUUCAAUUUCGGUUCAAUUUGUGUUAAGCUUGUACAUCAGGCUCCCAGAUCUACUUCUGCUCUACUGCUUUUAGUGCUGUUGUAUGGGGUUGUUUUAUCCAAAGUGCAGGACUUUGGAUGUGUGACAUCUUAUCAAUGUCCCUUCAAUCAAUAUUUAGCUCAGUGUAAUCUGUGGCUUGCUAUUGGAUGGAGAACGUACCUGUCAUACUACUGACCAUUGGUGUUGAGAUGUACUUGAGAAGUAGUUAUGGAAGGUAUAGUACUGUUUCUUUUAAGCAUCCCAAGUAAUUGGGUAUGUGAGGAAUCAUUUAAACUUUUACAAACUGGCAAUGGUUUUCCUUUAAAAACUUUUUUAUUGUGCAUUGAAUAUUUAGGAGUACAGUAUGUACUGUGACUAGUGCAAAAGAAUAUAGUUGUCUUUUCUUUCCAAUAUGCAUUUCAUUUGUGUGAAAGGAAUUUCACUUCCAUCUGUGAAAAGAUACCUUUUCCAUGAUUUAAAAUUGCUUUAAGGUCUUCACAAAGAUGUGAUGUGAUGAUUGCCUCACCACAACUAAAGCAUUUUUUUAACCAUGCAGUUAAAAACUUGUUUUUGUAUAUGAAUAGAAGUUGUCAUUUAGUUGUUGGCUUUGUGAUUUUUAUGCUCUCUGCAUAUUUCACUUUGUUGUAAGUAAAUUCCUUUUAGUACAUCCAGAGUUUCUGAAGUUACAUAGCCAAUGUGGCAUCUAAGCCCUACUAAUUACAGCUGUUUUUCAAAACUGUCCGAUUCAGGAAAUGAUAAAUGCAGCUGAGUUAGUCUUUUGAGAUCUCUUGCCUUGGGGGUAACACCCAAAGUUUCUUUGCUGUGAGGACAGUGACGUGGGGCUUCUUCAAAUUUGUCUUCUGUCUUUUUUGCACUGUUAACAGGUACAAAACAAAGAAAUGAAGAUGUGUAAGACAAUACCUACAUUCAUCCUGUUGUUUACAGGAUAUUGUGUUAAAAAUAUGCGUGUUGCUGCAACGGAGCCAGAAGCCAAAUCAAGAACAUCAGUGUCACUUGUUUCUAAUUCCACACAGAGCUUUUCAACAGACACACAAACUUUUCAACUAACGACAACAAGUUCUUACCUUCUAGAUUCAGAGACAGGAAUUGCCGAUUCCUCCACAGCAAUAAGUAAUGCAUCUAUAUUAGUGGCAGGACUCAGCAUUUUCUUUGUGCUGUUCUUUCUUUGUGCAAGUCUUGGUGUUUGGAGUGCACGGAAAUUGUCGAAGCGAGAUUCAUUUGACGUUACUCCUGCUGCCCCAUCUGGUGAAGCUUAGGUGACCUUAAGAACAUCAAGACAUGAGAACCGAUGAGAAAAGAAGAAAUGAAAGUCCCAUUAGUUGGUAGCUAUUUAGAGGGCUAUUAUUUCCACAAGAGCAGAAUAUUAAAAAAAAAAAUAAAUUAUUGAAACUAAAGAAAUCUUACUUUCCAAAGUUGGCACACUUAAGUUAUGUCUAUACUAAUGAAUUAAACUUAGCACAGGAAUAUUGCAACUUCUGAGACUUAGCUGGAAUAAUCCUUGUUUAUGCUUAUGUUGUGUUCUACCUAUUGGGAACAGCUCCUAGAAGGCUCUAACUUCUAAGUAACAGUCAAGUUACAUGAAUAAACAGUAUUCCAGUAGAUGGGAGUUUCCUAGACAUUGUUUAAUUUAUUAGUCUAGAUGCAUAGCCUUCUUGUUUAAUGCUAUUUCUAAAUGAUAUGUUUGAUGUAUCCCUCAUUUAGGGACAGGUAUUUUCAGUGAUUAAUCAAACCUCGCCACUGCAAACUUUAAUUUACUCACAGCACUGUGUUUGGCUGCUGCAUUGUAACUGUAAAAAGCUAGUCAUUUAAAUGUAAGUCUUGUUGUCAUAAGCUUAUUACAGUGCCUUAGGCUGGAGUGUAAAUCUACAGUUGAACUGUGUUACAUUUUCUCAGUUUGCAGAUGCUCCCAUGGGAAAGAAUAUUCUCUUGCCUUGACCUUGGGCAAAAGAUGAGCAUUCACACUGAGUGAUAGUGCAGCGUAAAAUCAUUCUGGCAUGUACUUCUGAGAAACUACAUAAGUUUAAGUGUGUGAAACCCAUGUUGUGACAAAACUACUACCCAAAUUCUGUAGCCCGAACAAAGGCAUGCUGUUGUUUUCAGCACAUCAUCUGUUUUAUAAGAGGGGGAGUAAGGAAAUUUCAGGAAAAACUAUUUUUAUAGAAUGUGAAAAAUAUGUUAAGACUUUGAUAACAUUUAUCCAUUAAAGUCAGCAACUCUCUCUCUGCGGUAUUCACUCCUCUAUAUAACUGAUGAACCUUUCUUAUACAAGUUCUAAUCCUUAAUAAUAAUCAUCAUCAUCUAGACUCAAAGCUGAAACCUAAAUUUUAUUGGAAGGAUACCAUCAUUAUUUUCCUAACUGAGUAGCACGUACUGUGUCAGAGACACACAGUGGCCGGUGACUGUGGUGGGGCUCUGCCUGAGCAAUGUGGGCAGUGUGGGGAAGAAGGGGCCAGCAGACGUUUGCCCAAAUAGCUGCGUUGCUAUAGCACAUCAGGAGAAAGAGAUCUGAAGAGGUAAGUCUGAGGCAGUCUGAGGUUGCUUUAUGAGAACAUUCCUGUGUGAGCUUUAGCAAAGGAACUUCAUUUCUGAAUUUGGGAGCCUGUAGUUCAAGACAAAAUUGUUAGCGUGUUUGUACCUCAUAUUUUUCUGUGAAGAUGAAUACUUUUGAGAGCAUGCAACAUGUGGGUUCCACAGUAAUGAAGCUAUACUGAGAAGUGUACAUAUGAAGGAAAUCACAGAUUAUGUCUGCAAAUCAUACCAAGCCAGUUAUUUUUCUAUUAACAGUAGAGAAGAAUACUGUGCCAGCUUUCAGCUUGAAUUAUCAAUUGAUGUUCUAUGCAAAUAAAAACAUGCAAGUAUUUUUUUUUUGACAGUCUGCGUUUACUUCGUAAGUAAAAGCUUUACUUCAAUACGUUACUUCAUUUACUUUAUUUCAGAGAAGUAAAAUGUCUCUGUACAAACUAAUGGUUGAAAAUUAGCCACUUUUUCUAUUUUCCCAAUACAGAAAGCUGUUUGUUGUGUCCAGUUAUCAGUUUAAGAAUGAGAUAAUUAUAUGAACUGUAUCUGCAGCAGUACUAUUUAGGAUGGGAGAGUUGUGCCAUAGCUGCCUUGUAUAUUAUUUUUUUAAAUGCACAUCGUAUGUGGUUGUGUUUUUUUUCCAUUAAAUAGAAGUUUAUUAUAUGCUUAAAUGCCUUCCUAGAUACUAGAUCAGGGUGCACUAGGCAACAAACUGAAUGUGGAAGAAAUAAGAAUAAACAUUUUUCUAUUUUCCAGGAAUAAUUAAUACAAACCAUGUUUAUAUUGCUUUUUAUUAGAUAUCUGCAAACUUAAAGGUGAAUGACUCCACUUUUGGGAAUGUUUUUGUAGUGGCUGUAUUUUAUCUGAUCUUUUACAGAACUUCUUACUAGAAGUUUAAUACACUAGCUGUUAUUUUGUGUUCACUUUUUUGUUAUUGCAUUGUUUAAUGUUUGUGUAAAAUUCCCUCUAGCUUGGGUGACCAGUCCCGUGAGAGUGGAUGCUGAAUACUUAGCCAAUAAACUACCUGUGAACUUGAAAUUAUUUGGGUAAAUGAAGCCGGUGCAACAUUUGACCUGACACAUGCACUCACAAAGCUGUUUGCUUGGCUCAUUGUGCUGCAAUUUCAUUGUGUGCUGAUCAGCAGAGUCUGUCGUUACAUAUGGAUGGAGUGGAUGACUGUAGCUGCUUGCUGCAAAACACUGGGGAGGUGGUAUGAAAAAGCAAGUUUAAGCAAUAUGACAGCAGAAAAGCCUGUGGAGAAGGACCUGGGGGUCCUGGUGGACGAGAAGCUGGAUGUGAGCCAGCAGCAUGUGCGUGCAGCCUGGAAAGCCAACUGUGUUCUGGGCUGCAUUAAAGAAGGGCUGGCCAGCAGGGAGGAGGAGAUGAUUGUCCCACUCUACUCAGGUCUUGUGAGGCCCCAUCUGGAAUAGUGCAUCCAGGCCUGAGGCCCCCAGCACAAGGACAUGAAGAUCUUGGAGUGGGUCCAGAGGUGGACCACUAAGAUGAUCAGAUGGCUGGAGCACCUCUCCUAUGAGGAAUGGUUGAGGGAACUGGGCUUGUUUAGCUUGGAAAAGAGAAGAUUUCGGGGAGACCUCAUUGUGGCCUUCCAAUACUCUCCAAUACAAGGGAGUGUAUAAACACGAGGGGGAACAGCUGUUUACUAGGGUGGAUAGUGAUAGGACAAGGGGGAAUGGUUUUAAACUGAGACAGGGGAGGUUUAGGAUAUUAGGAGGAAGUUUUUCACACAGAGGGUGGUGAUGCACUGGAACAGGUUGCCCAAGGAGGUUGUGGAUGCCCCAUCCCUGGAGGCAUUGAAGGCCAGGCUGGAUGUGGCUCUGGGCAGUCUAGUCUAGUGGUUGCAUGUAGCUUUAAUAAGUGAAAUGCCAAGGCUAAUUUUAGUGAACUACUUUGAAUGUAUCAGGUAUAUCUAGCAGCAGGGUUUUUUUACCUCCAUUUUAAACUAAAAGAAAAAAUAUUCUGGAGGGCCCUUCAGUUUAUAAUAGUCAGCUUGCUUUAAAUUUUAUUUUGUAGCUCCCUCCAGCAGAAAUGCUGAAAAUUGAACAGUAUAAAUUAGGUAGGUAAGUGCAGAGAUGUGUAAGUCAUCUUGAAAAUUUUCUGCAUUUCACGUACUCUGAUUAACAUAGUCGUGUGGUAUAUAUAGACUGUCAUGAGCUUACUGAGGAGAUUGCUUUCUGUCCAUUUGUUAAAGUUGUUUUGAAGUUGACUGUAGGAUGUGGAUUUUGACUGCCUUAAUGAAUCCUAUUCAACAGCAAAUAUUGCCAGGGAGGAUAUUGUAUCUCAGUAAUUGCACUCUAGGUGGAGAAAAAAUACCUCAGUUCUCCAGAAAAAUGAGAGGUGUAGUCAUAUAGAGUGUUACUUGCUGUACAGAACUGCAGAAGAUGCCAGUGAAGGUGCAGUAACAUGGUCAGUAGAGCCCUAAAGGUUAUGCUUUACUCCAGCUCUGGAAAAUUCUGGGUUCUGAGAAAGAUCAUCAGGAAAAUCACGGUGAGCAUCUGAAAAAAGCUCGGUCCCAGCAGAGCACCCUACGUAAGUCAGGAAUGCGUCAGUGUCUUCUCUCAUUGCAGUUUGCAUGCUGUUAGUCAUUCAAAGAUUCCCCAUAAGAGUAGAAUCACAUGCACUAACUGGAUCAGGAAGUUUCUUACAUGAGAACAUGUGCGCACUGAAUGGCUGAAGUUGGAAGGGACCUCUGGAGGUCAAAUGUGUGCAAGUAUUUUGUAUUUUUCUGUGACAAACAGAUACAAAUUCAAUUCUAAAAAAAAAAUCCAGCUCUCCCUCUUCUGUACAAAAUACAGAAUCAUCACUGCAAUUAGCAAAUCGGACUCAAACUAUGUAGAAGAAUCAAAUAUGUUUAUUCAGUAAGUGGCUGUAGCAGGCUUUCAGAUACAGAGCUGCUGAAAAUGGAAAAGUCUAGUAUAGCAGUAAAGUACAGUGCUCUAGCACUUUCAAACAGUAAAUGGUGGUAGAUACAGUACUCUAAUUGUGAAUUUCCAAGGGUAAACCAGAUAUUGUUUUAUAGAAAUAUAUAUAUAUAUGCCGACAUUAUUUCUUCCUCAUUUAUAAUAUUUGGCUAAAAUCUAGUCUUUGUACAAUUUGUUAAUGGAGAAAUUCCUUUUAAAGUUUCAUUGUUAGGCAUAUUUAUUUCAGUGAAUACAAUUUCACAGUUGUCUAUUAUACUGAGUUUGCAAAAUGUCCUAAGCCAGUCAAAAAUUAGCCUCAGGUUUUUGCUCAUCACAAGUAAGCAUAGAUCUGGUGCCUGCAAGUGAAGUUAAAUGAAUGUCUCUCUCUGAAUAACACAAAGGAAAAAAUAAUCUACCAUCCCUUGGUACACAUUUGCAGUUUUAACAGCAGAUAGGUCAGAUAUGGCAGGGUCUGCAUGUAUGAAUAGCAAUAUUGUUAUUCAUCCAUCAGCCUCAUUACACCUAGGCAGUCUGUCUGUGCCCUGUUAUAGGCCCUUAUUGUAACCUGAGAGUAUGUUUUGAUCAAGAUCCUGGCUUUAAAUAAGUACAUUUUAAGAUGGGAUUUUUGUGGGGAUGAUUAACGUGACAUCCCAAAUUCUGAUCUUACAGUGAUUAGAGGGAGAAUGAAUUCAUCACUACUGCAUUUUGAAUCCUAGCACCUCGAAACACUCAUGUUACUCAGAAAUCUGGAUUUGCUUUUUUAUCUGCAUAUUGAAUUUCAAGACCGAUGGUAGACCUUGUUGAUAGAAAAAUUAUCUGUAAUCAUUGGAAGGAUUCCUAUAAAAACAGUGACAUGGCAAAAAGUUUUAUAAACACAGGAGGACGUAUCAACUUUGAAGUCUGUAUAUUCAGUACUAGACAAAUAGGAAGUUAUGGCUAGCUUAACUUAAUAGCUGAACAGAAACGGAACAGAGGAAAGAAACCUAUAAAACUAGAGUUAGGGGGUAGCAUGUUUAAGUUUUUCAAAGAAGAUUAUGAAUUCACCUUGUUCAAGCUUUGCAUUUUUCAUACAGUCAGGCAAGACUUAGAGCUGUGGGGAAGAAAAGGUACCUUUUAGAUUUAGAUUUAAAGGUACUGGUAAAUGGUACCUUUAUAUAUUAUUAAACUCAUAAAAAGUCUAUUACAAAAAUAUUUGUAGCACUUCUGUGAUAGAAAUAGACAAUGAUGAGCAUUUGGGUUUUCUAGUGACUGCAGAUUCCGUGUUUGAUUUUGCACAUGCUUUUGCAGGAGUAAGCAGUGUGCAUGAAGAGCAACAAACACAUUAGGAAGAUAGAGAAGGAUUAAGGUGAAGAGGUAGGGAGAGAGAAUUCCUUAAUUACUGCUCAAUUCAGCCCCUGAUUUUAAGUUAUUUUGAUGUAUUCACUAUUCCAGUUUAUAAAGUUUAUAAGGGUCUUGGGUUGAAAUGCAUCAUUUUUAAAAGCCAUUUAUGCAUUUAAGACCUUAAGUCACAGAUGGUUUGUGUGCUGCUGAAAUGAAAUUUAUUAAUGUAAAUUUGGUACCUCUUCGGCAAUGUACUUUUUUUUUUCUGGGAAUCCAAAUUGAUUUCUUCCUGCUGGGCUCCUGAUGAGUUUGUAUUAUUGUAGUUAAGAUGAAGAAACUUCAUUCUGUUCAUUUUAGGCUAAUCAAGCAAAAGUGAAAUACAAUUACUUGGUUGCAGGUUACUUGGUUAUUUGUCAGAAAACUUAAAUUGAUUUUAGAAAUGAUCAUAAGAGUUUUGGUAUCUUUCAGUAUCUAGAUCUCAGUUCUCUUUCACAGAUUUUACUAACACCUGUUCCGGCUAGUACCAAUAAAGAGCACAUCUUUUUUUUCCUGUGCAGGUGUAUUUGCUGGGAAGCCAAUAGAGGAAAUCAAGCACUUCUGUAUGUGCUAAUUAUAAAUACGAUAGGCAACACAACUGAAUUGCAUGUCAAUGCGAAAAUUAGUUGAAAAUUUAAUUUUGGAUGGAAAUUACCCAGAACAUCAAUAGAUGGUUUGGCAUCAUUUUUUUUGGCCACAGUGAUUUUGCUUCUCAGCAAGCUAGAGCUUUCGGUUUGGUGCUCUGCCAAUGCCAUCUAAGACCAUAGGCCAUGAAUUCAUGGAAAAAUAGCAACCUGUAUGCCAAUUGAACUGUCUGCUCUCCUCUUACGAUCAGAGUUGUGUAACCUGCAAAAAUCCUGUCUUGUGAAUGUUUCUCUCACCUAUUCAAAUAAUUUACUUGCCCAUACAAACAUAGCAAAUAUCCAUAAAAGAGUAAAGGAAAGAUAUCUUGAAUUUGAAAUAAAAAUAAAGUUUCUGUAAUUAUUUGCUAGUCCUGAAAGAGUUUGUGGGGGUUAGCAGCAAAGCCCUUCGCUUACAUGCAUGUAAAUCAGAGCAAUGUAUUGUGUUGGAAAGGUUGUGUAUGGCAAGCAUAGUUAUCCACUUCUCACAAAACAGCUUGAAUCAGCAACUCAGGAUGUGACUGUGCAAAGCUAAUGGAUGGGUUGUAGAAGAGAAAACAACUACUGCAAGCAAGGAAAAAAGAAAAACAAACAACAAAAAAAGCUGUACUUUCCAUCUUCCUGGCUCUAGAACCUUAAAACUUUCUUUCACUUCUGGUUUAAAUGCACCAUUAUUUCAUGGCUUAACGAAGGGCAUUCACAGAAGAUACAAGAAGUCAGAUGUACUGAUGAAUGGGGCCUAAAAAGGUCUUAGAAGGAAGUCAUGAAUUGUGUGACAGUAUUGUAAUCCCUGUCUGCUCUUCACCAAGGUGUUCAUACUAGAUUCAAGUAUUCAGCCAGCUGAACAGAUGGAUGCCUGAGACCUAUUUACAUGGACUUGUAAUGAAUUCUGUUUGUUGCCCUGUUCUGAACAAAAUGCAGACAAUUAAGAAAAAAAAGGGAAUCUGGGAUUUCAUUCAUAUUCAUCAAGGAGUAUGCUUUAUAAAGCUGUUUUCCUACUACAGCACUUAAUUCUCUGCCCUUUACAUUGCUACAAGUGGAAAAAGAGCACCAGGAAUUUUCUCCUACUUUCUCCUUUAUUUUUCCAAGCUUGAGAAAUGGAGCAGCAUCCCUUCCUCUGCCUGGGGAGGUGCGUUACAUGUUGGUGUGAGACUGUGCUGUGUGACUGAGACACCACAGUUCAGUCCUACCUCCUCAGAAGGCGGUGUCUGAUGGCAGGAUAUGCCCUUAUGAGAACAUACAUAUUUUCACAGAAUCUUCAGUUUCCUGUCAGUAAGACAUGUUAGGUAUGUUUUAAUGACAACUCCAGACUAGAGGAGGCUGGUGCUAAGUAUUUUGCAGCUAUGUAGAUAAUGCCAACAAAACAAAACAAAAAAACAAACAAACAAACAAAAAAACAAACCCAGAAGCUGAAUGUCAAGUUAGAUGUAGAUGUAAUUGGGCCAAGUAUUAACUGAAGAAAGUGGGUAUAGCAGCAGGCCUUUGAAUACUAGAGUAGGCUUGGCUUUUACCAUGAAAAAAUUUCAUUUAGACUCACAGCUAAAAAUGUCACUGCUGUGUGUGUACUCACUUCAGCUCAGAAAAUGUGGAAAAUAUGAUCUUCCAAAAUUCCCUUGUGUUUUUUAACCACACAGAAUCCUGGAACCCUCAGAGGUGAUGUGGAUACACAGAACAAUGCAAAUUUUAUGUAGUCACACAAAGUACAUGACCAAAAUGCUUUCCGAAUAUAAAUAAUACAGAUACAGAUGUCCCUCUUUGCUAAGAUGUAAGAAAUCACAAAGUGUAGUUCUAAAAUGCAAUGGCUAAAAGCUGUGUUUUCAAUUUAAAGUGAGAGCUGGGAGCAUGUGAAGAAUAAAUGAAAUGGUGAGAUUAAGCAAGACUGUGGGAUAAAUACUCUGGUUCAGAUAUAAAGGCUUUAGUGACAAUGUCAGAUGCCUGAGGGUGAGAGUGAAGGACAGAAAAGAUCAGGGUUAUAAAUAGUUUACAUAAAUUGAAGAAAUAGGUCUAAGAAUUCCAGAAGAGUAUAAGGAUGAAAUAGCAAAGAGUACAAAAAAGCCAGUGAGUAGAACAGAUGGGGAACUGAGAUUUGAGGACUGAAACAGCCAAGAUAAUAAGCAACCAACAACCACAAAGUUGGAGAAGAAAUCAUUGAGGGCAGGGAAGACAAUUGGAGCUGGAGGCUUGAAAGGCAGGAGCAAGACAGAAGAAAAUGGAAGAGAGAUGUUUUGAAGUAUAGUGAAAUCACGCAGCGCAACAUUUACUAUUUGAAAACUAAAGAUGAGUACAGGCCAAAGUCAUGAGUAUUGCUUUGAAGUGCCCAAAUGUUAGAAAAGACCAGCAAGUUUCAGAAUAAGCUCAUAUCUGACCUGAUUACUCGAAACCAAUGCUGUCUUUAUAAAAUAGGAAAAACAAAAUUGCACUUUGAAGCAAUCCUGAACUCAGUGUGCUUUGGCCCAAAUAUUGAUGAUGUAAGAAUUCUCCUUUUAAAAAAAAAUAAAGAAUUGUACCUUCAGCAGCUUUACAAACGCAGCUGUUGGGCAUAGGCUUCAAUUAUAUGUAAGUCAGUAUAUUGGUACCAGCUUGUGAAAAGAUCGUUAUAGGAUUCCUUUUUUUCCUUUUUUCCCUUCAGGGUCUUUUAGUUAACAGGAAAACCCAAGUGAACUGGUACUUCCAUCUCAGAUUGAAAUCAGCUGAAUAAAAGUUUUCUUUCCAAGAUUUCCUGGCAUGAUGGAAGAGAAAAAUCUUGCAAUCUCUGAAUCUUACGUAGUAAGUGAAUAAGGAAAUAGGAGUUUUGUCCUGUAUUUCUGAAUUGUCCUGUACAUUUCUGAAUGUAAGUCUUGUAUUUUUUUCUGAAUGGUAGAAGCACUUUCUAUGGCAAUUUCUGCACAGCACCACUGCAGUCUGAUUGUGUGGACAUACAGGUAGAUUUAAAGAAAACAAGCAGCUUUUUCAAAAUGUACUUUGUCAGCUUCAUAGUAUUUCAUCUUUGUGGUACAAUGCAAGCUGAGCAAGUUAAUGAUUAUCACUAUAUCCUUAUGAAAGGAUAGUAAUAAUCUUUCUUUCCUAUUAUUGAGGAGAGUUCUUGCUGACUCUUGACAGGUUUGCUGGUGGUGGUGUAAUUGAUGGUUGUUCUGUUUUGUUUUUGUAGCAGAAGCCAGGUUCUGCUUUAUCACCCAUUUUUUUGUUAACCUAACUUCGGCCUGUUCCAGAGAAAUAUUAUUAAACUGUAGAAUGGGCUCAGAUUUUUGGAAGCUCUGUUUUGAACAGAGUCCAGUGUGCAUGGUGUUCAAGCAGAUUACUUCCUUUGCUUCAUGAAAUGACUGAUGAAGUUCUCUCUCUUAAAAAAAAAAAAAAAAAAAAAAAAAAAAAAAAAAAAAAAAAAGGCCUUCUAUGGUGUCAUGACUGGCUGGAUAGAGGUGAGAGCAGAGGAUAUUGUUUAUCUUGACUUCAGCAAGGCUUUUUGACACUGUCUCCCAUAACAUCCUUGUAAGUAAGCUGAGGAAAUGUGAGGUAGAUGAGUGGAUUAUGAGGUGGAAUGAGACAAUUUUGCAGUAGUGCAAGAAGAUGUUAAGACUGACACUUGUUUAGCCAUGGCAUUAUAUUUUUAUUAUUUCAAAAAGCUAUUCUCACUGCACUGCAUAUGUCUUCACAGAGUUAAACAUUUUGGAUCUAAAGUAGCAGGAGACACCUAGUAUUCCUACAAAAUUAAUGGAGGAGAUUUUGGAGAUCUUCUGGUGAUCCAGUUUUUGUCCAAAGAAAUUGUAGCUCUGGUAAAUAUGAAUAGAUAAUUUCAAAAUACAUUUUCUGUACUUUUCCCUCAUCUUUCACCCAAUUCCAAGUGGUGUCUUAAUUAAACGUGAAGUGAUAUCUAAGCUAGGUCAUUACUUCUCCGCUAGUGAAAGCAGAUUAGAGUAGAAAUUGACAAAAACUUCUACAUGUCUAAGGAAUUUAAAUAGCUGUGUAAAAAAUGGGGUGUUUUUGAAUAACAUUGAGUUAUUCAACUAGAUGUUGAAGUUUUCAGCUAGCUUUCAAAAUACCCAGUCUUGGUGUGUAAGCUCUGCAUCAAGCAUGCAUCUAUUUUAGCACAUAGAUUCAGCCACACUAGGGAAAAAGGCUAUUUUUAAGACAAUGAAAUAUUUCAUCUUUUACUUGGAACAUACACUUGGUUGAUGUUAUAUGUUAACAUUUCUACAUUUACUUACUUUAACUGAACUUAUUCCUUUUUGGUCAGGGAAUAAGAAGGAAAAUAAAGUAGUACCAUAAACCAGCUACAUAAAAAGUUUUAAAAGCACAGGAAGUGAAAUGCAAACAAACCAAUUUGUUUCCACCUUAACUUUUUUUUAUUCUAUUUCAUUUUAUCAAUUCAGGUUGUUUUGCUUUCUGACAGGAAAAAUAUCUUACUUUUUUCUUCUGCUCUAAAUCAUUUUAACAUCACUGGGAAACUCUUAUAUCUUACUUCAGCCUGACGAAAAUAUUUGCAGAUGUGCAGAAACAUGCUCUACAUAUGCUUUAGAGAAUGCCUGCUUUAGAAGAUGCAGUAAGGAUAAGACAGUGAUACAUAAUUGCAGCUAAUUUUUUGGUUGACAAGUUUCAGCAUCUUAUUUUAGGUCUAUUGCAACGGUUAUGAUAGAUUUCCUUGAAAGAUUUGCUGUUGCAACAGCUUGUUGAUCAAAAUUGUCUUUCCUUGGUUGGAAUGGAAUUUGAGAAUUAAACGGGCUAAAGAAGAAACCAAAUUUCAAGGGCAGAUCAGACAAUCCUGUAAAUCUUCAGUCAUCACUCUAGAGACAGACUGAAAAUAUGAAGAGUGCACAAAUUGUUUCAUGGAAGAUCUUCAAGCAGAGUUUAAUGUUUUUGGUUUGGAGAACUGGGGUUUCUUCAUCUUAAUCAAAUUCUUGUCUCAGGCACAAAUCUUUCUCCUUUCCUGCCACAGAACAAAAAACGACCUACUUUUUCCCAGCUAUACCUUACUCUGGAAAUAGAAACACAUGCUCGUUCUGAAGAUAUGCCACUAAGGGUAAAAAACCAUCUUUGAGCUGUCACAUCACUGAAAUCUUUGGCAAAUGCAGGAAAGGAGGACUUGGCAUUCACAGAAGCUGGCUGCAGCUGUGCUUUAAUUGAUACUCUCCAGUAAUACCAUGAAAUUGAUCACUUGUUAAAAUCUGAAGCUACUUUUUAGUUCAAUAUUUCAUUUAAUCAAAAUUGCUCACGAAGAUGUAUAAUGUUUCUGUACAUACAUGACAGUUCAGAUGUGACUGUGGAACAACCUUUUUUUUCUGUCUGACCCGAGUGAUUUAGCCAUUGGACAGCAACUAAUUUGUAUAUUUAAUAAAAUCUAGAAAUGUUUAGUCUAUCCAUGUAAAGCCUUAAGAAAAAUCCCCUCAUUUUCAGAAUAGUUUCUGCAUGAAAUUUUGAUGCAUUGGUGUAAGUGUUCUUUUGGGGGUUAGUAACGUGAUUUAUAGCUGCCAACUGAAACAUGAAGUGUUUAGAAAAAAAGUGCGUAUUUAAUCUGCUAUGGUUUUUUAGAGAUGCAUCUGCAGUUUGUUUUGUUGUAGUUUUUGGAUACAUACUCCACUUUUUUCUUCAGCAAGUCCAUCCUUCUUUUGCAGCUAAAGCUGGUAUGUAAGUUUACAGAUAACAAUAUACAGACUGUAUUAGACAAGAAGCCUUGCAGAUAAUUCAGACUGGAGAUAACCAGAUCUGAAAAAAAGAUGUUUAUAGAAAUGUCUAGGUAUAGGUAAAGCCCCUUAGAGGUAGGAUACAUACUUUCACUUGCUGUAGGAAGCUGAGUGGUAGUCUUUCUAAAUGUUUUGUAAAUAUUUGGAACUUCUGCUGUAGUUUUCAAAACAGUUUUUAGAAAAGCUCUGCAUACAGACACACCCAGAAGAUUGCCAAUACUGUCUGCUGUAACUCAAUGCAGGAAUUAACAUUCUUUUCCUGUAUGCAUGCCAUAGCUGAGCUUCUGGUUAGUUUUAUCUUCCUUUUUCUUUCUUUUUUUUUUUCUCCUUGUAAAUCUCCUCCCAUGUUUGUAUCCUGUGUCCUAUUUCAUGAAUAGUUCAGGACAUACCCUCUUCAAAAAAAGAAAAUUCAGAAAAGAUGGUUAUUCUUAAGCAUUGUGGCAAAACUUGUGGUUACGCAAGUAAAAAUGGCAUUUACUUACUCAGAUUUUUUUUUUUUUUAAUUUUUAUUUAUUUAUUUAUUUUAUUUGCACAUAAGGAAGUCUAUCAGGCCUUCUGUCCAUCAUGGGCCAGUUACUGAGGCUGUAUGCCCAGUGCACACCAAUUGCAAAGCUGUGCCCACAUUAUAGUUCUGUCCUCAGAAAAAGUACACUGGUUAACAAGGUUCAUCUGACAGCACUGCCCACUCAGCUACGGGGCCACAAAUGUAAUGGGCGCAGGAAAAAUUCAAAAUAACUUGUUUAAAAAAAAAAAAAAAGUGUUUUUUGAAUAACUUGUUGGAAUGUGUAGCAUUUUUCAUGGCACCGUAUUUAUUAGCAUAGAUAAGAAAAGUGUCUUCAGUAGGCUUUCCCUGGUGAUCGUUCAAAAAAAAAGGUAAGUCUGGCCAACAGCUCCUGAAGGGAGGCAGGAAGAGCACGAUUAUGAGGCCGCCGUUUUGCAGCAGGGGGCGCCAUUUUACAGCGGAGGCCGCCAUUAGAGGGUGUAACGGACCUGAUGCUGCUCGUCCUCCUGAGGAGGAUACACUGAGUGAGACCAUUGUCCUUCAAAAUUUUCUGGAGAUGAAGUCUUCUGGAGGAAAGCUCUGGGAAAUGUCUAUCCUUCCUGAAUGAGUACUGGCUCCACCUUCGGCUUUCAGCAGUCUGUCAGCCUGUUUGUGGGAAACAAAAAGGAAUCCUUGUGUUUGGCCGGAUACCCAGCACCUGCGGAACACAUAUCUACAGCAAAUAUUUUGCUUUGUUUAACUUCUACCUGAAAUAAAGCUGAUGCUAUGGAACUUCAGUUUGGGAAGAUAAGAUUUGGUUUGUUUCACUUGCUACAGUGGCACUUGGGAUGCACUAGCACAAAGCAGUUGUUGCUGAGCUAUUCAAUACAUCUUUUCUCUCCACUUCCACUGAAGGCUUUUUAUUUUGGCUAGUUGUAAACAAUGAUGGUUACUUGGCAUGGAGUUGUGGUUUUUGGUGCUGGGCUGGCUUGUAGGUCUUUUUUUUUUUCUUUUUUGCAAAGUAAUGAUUUUCAAGGAAGUCUACAGCAGUAAAGCUUUUUGCUUAAGGUUAUUCUAAGUGUAAGUAAUUGGUAACUAGAAUAGUAUUUUCUAGGGCUGUCCUAACAGUGUGGCUUUUACAUUUUUUUUUCCGGUGGGUUUGCUUAACUCUGCUUGUGACGUUUUGAAAAGCAAAAAAUGGUAAUUUGACCUGCUCUCUCUGCUGCUGUCUUCAAGUUCCCCCUCUUCAUACAACGAUGAUACCUUUUGAUAACUGUUAUUGAAAGAGCUGAAACUGAGAAAAGGUUACUUAAUAGAAAUGGACAAUUAGUUCUCUUCUUUUUCCCCCCUUCUAGGGAAUUUCAGAAUUAUGCUAAAUUAGAUGAUGGCAUCGGGAACCAAACAAUUUAAUCUCAGUCAUAACGUGUCUGAAACUGUAAGGUAGGAUAGGAACCACUCCUGACUGGAGCUGUUUUGUUCUACCAGCUCAGCUGAACAGUGCACACGGCAGUGUGAUAACACCACAGAUCUCCCAGACCUUGAGUAAGAAUCAGUUCUUUUCACAGAAAUGAAGACCAUCUCUACAUCUACAACUGUUUUAGAGACCUGAGUUGUUACACUGUUUGCAGUUAAAAUAAUGCUACCAUUCUUAGACCAUUCUAAGGAAGAACAAGUUUCAGUGUCACUUAACUUUACACUGUUAUCAAUGGUAAGCAGAAAGUUAAUGUGAUUUUGUUCCUGUCUCACUGUUCAUUCAUUCUCAAGUUAAAUACCUGGCAGUACCUCUAAUGUCAAAGUACAAAGUAUACUUGUGCAUUAAAAUUAAGUUCAAUAAUAUUAAAACCAAAGCCACAGAAACUGUAAAAAGGGGGGUUGAUUGGUGAUGGCUUUCAGCAAAAACCAAACCAAACCAAACAACCCACCUUACCUGUUCAGCGUUUAUAACAUUGCAUGUUAAAAACAAAACACAGAUCCCACAACUCUGAGAUGACCGAAUAAAUAAUAGGUACUGAGGUAGUAGGAAGAUUAAUGGAAAAAAAAAAAAGCCACGUAAAGCAUUAUUAAUAAAUGAAGCCUAUUUAUUAUUUCAAGUGUUAAUGGUAAAAAAAAGUCAGCACAGCUGUUGCAUUUAAAAAAGUGAAACUACAUUUAAGUACUAUGUUUCUAGUUCAGUAAACAGAUGAACCCGAUGUCCUUUAAUGACAUAAUAGUUGAGCAUUAUACAGUACAUCUUAUGAAGACCCGUAAAUUAAAGAACUACUUUUUAAAUUUAGUGAUUAUAAAACUUCUGCAUUCACAGCUUUAGCUUCUUUUUUCUUCCACGACCAUCAGGAGUACCAUCCAUUUUGCGCUUCUGUGCCUGGAAGGGAAGUUUUUCAAGUAAGAUAAUGUGACAGAAAAAGAUCCAUAACUGCAUUUUGAGCCAAAACAGAUGGAGAUGGUUUAACCCGGGCAGCUUUAAAAAUGUGAUAAAUCACAAAAUGUAAUGUGGCAGAUAUACACAUCCCACUCAGAAUACCAGCUGUCUUAUAUUCUAACAAUUCUGGAAGGGCAUAAUUUCAUAGAGGACAGAAAUGUUUAGAAACAAGUAAGGAUGUUAUAAAGCUUCCUUACUUAGAGAAUAAUAGUUCUAGGCACCACUUCUAUGAAUGAUUAUAAGCAACAAUUUUAACAACAAAAUCUAGCCAAGAAAACAGGUGAUUAUUUCCUGUACAAAAAAAGGCCUGUGUGUUUAGCAGUACUUUAGAGUACUUACUAUAUUAAGCAUAUAUAUGCACUUGUUUUCCCAAAUCUAGCUCUUGGAGCCCAUUUCAUGACCAACCCUCUAUCUACACAAGGAAUGCGAAGGCAGGCUCUGAUGUCUAAUUUGUAAACAAAUCUGUAGCAUUCUCAAAGUGAACUGAAAGGUUUGCACUGCCUGCCUACAUAUCCUGCUGUGGUAAACAUCCAUUUCUUUAUGGAUAAAAAUUAAUGAAAAGGCUAAAUAAAUCUCAAGUGUAUUUUAUAACGGUAAACUCAUAUAGCCUACCAACUCAGUGAUCAAAAAACAAGGCAAGUGUAUCUGUUCCAGGUACAGUUUAGAACCUGAACUUUAUUUGCCAUCCACAAGGGUAAUAACUGAGUAACCGUGUGAACUUUAAGCAGUUCUUAGCAAUGCCCUAGCAGGCUUUUUGUUGGAUGCUAUUUUUAAAUAAUUUUAGAUAUCACUUUGCCCAGACAAUCAGAAAAGCUCACCGUCUCCAAGUCCUUUUUUUUUUUUUUGUAAAAACAAUAGAAAAAAAGCACAACCAAAACCAAAGCAGCACCUCUUUAAAUCUUACCGAAGAUGGUUUUGGUCCACGUUUCUUCUUUUCUGCCUUUUCCUUUUCUUCCAGUUCCAUGUUCUCUCUUUCAAUCAGGGUGAUUAAAGUAUUGCAUCUCCUUUGUAGCUCCUAAAUCACACAACACAGUCACUCACUACUUUAGAUUGCCACUCAGUGUAAACAGCAUCAUGUCAGAAUACUAGAAAUACCUCCAAGUUGUAUGUUUUUUGUAUUUCAUGCAAAACCUUGGAAGUAGAAGGGAUUAAACAAAUACUUUAAUGAUGGUCAUUAUCUGGCUUCACAGCAAUGGGUUUGAUCACUGAUGUUGGCUUUUAAAACAAAUCUGUAUUUAAUUCAAAUUCACGUUUAUUGUGAAACACAGUAGUAACUUGAAAUUUAAAUUUCAUCUCCCAUGAAAAUUUUAUAUUACUGCAUUUACCAUCUUAAAAUUGUUGAAAAGUCUAUAAAAAUGUAAUAAACUGUAUAUAUGCACACACCUUACCCUUGCAGAAGCCAUUUAUUAAAUCUGCUAUAUACCUGCAGUGUGUUGGUGCAGGUGUUCACAGGGAAGGAGCUGGAGAUUAAUACGUACCAUUGCAGUUCUAGACUUGAGAAACCAGUCAAAUCUGAACUGGGGGGAGUUUCGGAUACACUGCCUUAAUUCAUCAUAGACAUUUUCUUUAUCAAAUCCUAGCUUGUGAAGCAUACAGAUUAAAAAGCGAUCCUCCUCUUCAGUGUAAUUCUUUCCUUUGUUAGUACCGUAUGAUAUUCUUAGCUGGUGGAAAGGGGCUUUGUAUCUGCCAAUCUUUGUGUCAAGUGCUUUUUUUAUGCUGAUCCGUCUCUGAAUUCUGGCUUCUCCUCUUUCUAUCUGAGCCAUGAUCUUCUCUAUGUCUUGGAGUUCGUUGCACCUUUCCCAGAACACAGCUGAAUACUCAAUGACUUCCUCUGGGGUUUUUCCUUCUACUUCUCGUGCUAUAUUUUCAAUAUCGUCACGGCCCCACUUCUCAUUAGCUUUGAUGAACUGGUUAAAAUCUCUCUUAUUCCAGUUAGUAAAUCCCUUUGCAGCAAUUAAAAGCAAACAUUGCAAAAUUCAGGAUUUGUCCAUCUCCACAUUUGUUUUAACAGAAUUUUUUUAAAUGCCUGAAGAGUAACACUUGCAUCAUAGCAACAAUGUAAACCUGUGCUUUUCCUGCUGUUUGAUGUAGAAGAACAACAUUUUUAUAUUAAACUCAUUGUAAUCUCCCUAUGUAAAAACUGCCAAAUGAUUAGCACUGGUUCUCUAAUUACUACUUUCAGAUAAAAUUAUUUAGGUCAUAAGUGAACCCCUUUAAGACUGAGAAUCCCUCAAGAGAAGCAAGUAGUCUCUACAAUGGCUUUGUUCAGUCCAAGGACCACCCAGAUAUCAUUAAGCUCCUGUGCCACCCCCAGACUCUUGCCCUCAGGACGCCUGUUGUGUAAUGUUAUUCGAUAGGGACAGAAACAGCACUGCUGAAGUUAUCAGCUGCCAAAAUUGGCUAAUGGCACAUAGUAUUAACAUUAAAAAACUGGUACAAAGCCAGCCACACGAUGAUUUAACCACAGCUUGAUUGUACCAAUAUUUACUAGCAACUCUUUCACUGCACUACUACUCAAACAAUAGUUUGUCUUACCCACAGAAAAUACAACACGAUACCCAGACAAAUAGGCAUUAAUCUACUUUGAAUUAUUUAAAUGCACAAGCUAAUAAUCAGGUAGCUGCUUAGCUGAUAUCUUCUUUAAGAGCAGAACAUUAUUAACUUCAAAUCAUAGUUUAAGAAACCUGAGCCUUCAACCCACAGCACAUAGUUACAUAUGAGAGUGGUGAGUAAAGAACGUGCUUCACACUAUGUGAAAAAGGAGUACAUUCAGCCUUGCAUCUAGUUUGCAUGGUUCUGCAACUGAGAAAAGAUGUCACAGGCUACAGUCUGUGCAAACCUGUGAAGCCAGGCUCAGACACCGGAUAGCUCUUAAUCAUUAGGCUUAAAAAUACACAGAAGGUAGAUCAUGUCUGGUAUACUCUGAAUGCACUAACUACGUAGGUAGGCAUCCUUCAAAAAGGUAUCUACGCCCAUCAUUACAAACCUCAUGUUAAACUCUUUUUCAGUAGUACAAACCAAAAUGCGCAGCCUUUAAUUACUUCAAAUGUGGCAUUUAUAAAUGGAUGACAAAAAAUUGUUCAUAUAAAGCAGUAAAACAAAUCAAGCUUCAGAUGAUGUCAGUAUCAUUACAGAACCAACCAUACCUGGGUUAGAAGCUUCUCUUUUUCUUCUAGUUCUUCAUCAUUGAGAGGUUCAGCCUCAUCAAUCUUAAGCUGCUCUUCCUUUUGCGCUUGGGCUGCAUUUGGAAGAUCAGGAU